GAUGAAGAACGUAGCGAAAUGUGAUAAGUAAUGUGAAUUGCAGAAUUCAGUGAAUCAUCGAGUCUUUGAACGCACAUUGCGCCCCCUGGUAUUCCGGGGGGCAUGCCUGUCCGAGCGUCAUUGCUGCCCUCAAGCACGGCUUGUGUGUUGGGCCCCCGCCCCCCGGCUUCGGGGGGCGGGCCCGAAAGGCAGCGGCGGCACCGCGUCCGGUCCUCGAGCGUAUGGGGCUUCGUCACCCGCUCUGUAGGCCCGGCCGGCGCCCGCCGGCGACCCCAAUCAAUCUUUCCAGGUUGACCUCGGAUCAGGUAGGGAUACCCGCUGAACUUAAGCAUAUCAAUAAGCGGAGGA
RNAcentral lists this unclassified non-coding RNA (348 nucleotides) under soil metagenome. RNAcentral's name for it is "partial contains 5.8S ribosomal RNA, internal transcribed spacer 2, and large subunit ribosomal RNA". The stretch from base 1 to 120 matches the Rfam family "5.8S ribosomal RNA", at positions 35 to 154 of the family's 154-position model. The record is from RNAcentral.